CCGUCUUGAAACACGGACCAAGGAGUCUAGCAUGUGCGCGAGUCAUUGGGAAUUUUUCAAACAUACAAUCAUAACUAAACCCAUAGGCGCAACGAAAGUGAAAGCCGAGGCCUCGACUUCGGCGCAGGGAAGACGCGGUCGGAUCGCGAUCCGAUCGUUGCACUCCCGAGGCGUUUCGAGAAAGUCUCCGUGCGAUUAUCGAAACGCACUGAGAGCGCACACGCUGGGACCCGAAAGAUGGUGAACUAUGCCUGGUCAGGUCGAA
This 265-nucleotide ribosomal RNA is filed under the name Anchitrichia spangleri. Its description in RNAcentral is "partial 28S large subunit ribosomal RNA". It matches the Rfam family "Eukaryotic large subunit ribosomal RNA", at positions 649 to 850 of the family's 3401-position model. The record is from RNAcentral. Lineage: Eukaryota; Metazoa; Arthropoda; Insecta; Trichoptera; Hydroptilidae.